AUCCGUUAUGGUGCGGCUCCUGUUCGGACACAGGCCACUGCCCGGAAAUGUCGAGAGACACCAAUGGGUAGAACAGCCUCAGCCGGAUUAAGGCGUGGCUAACGUGGCUGGGUACCGUGGCAGACGGAUAUCUGCUGUAUCGCCGCUUCGCGCGUGCGUACGCCCUACGCCGAACAGUGCCAAAACCA
Molecule: small RNA, 188 nt
Filed under: bovine gut metagenome
Also listed under: 1 other name
Description: M-box riboswitch (ykoK leader)
Rfam family: M-box riboswitch aptamer (ykoK leader)
About the family: M-box riboswitch, also know as ykoK leader is described as a metaloregulatory RNA that sense divalent metals and function as a genetic control element of genes related to divalent metal transport in bacteria.
Source: RNAcentral